Molecule: microRNA precursor, 84 nt
Filed under: Bombyx mori (domestic silkworm)
Lineage: Eukaryota; Metazoa; Arthropoda; Insecta; Lepidoptera; Bombycidae
Description: mir-2807 microRNA precursor family
Rfam family: mir-2807 microRNA precursor family
Source: Rfam by way of RNAcentral
UUAAAUCGAAUUUGUAUAGAGUUGGAACGUUUGCCUACGUUUGCCGCUAGGGGCGCUGUUCCAACUGCAUACAAAUUUGUGUUA